RNAcentral lists this unclassified non-coding RNA (333 nucleotides) under Hevea brasiliensis (rubber tree). The record is from RNAcentral. Lineage: Eukaryota; Viridiplantae; Streptophyta; Magnoliopsida; Malpighiales; Euphorbiaceae.
UCCCCUUUAUCUGAAGGUAUAUGUGCAAAGCUAGCUUUCAGUAGAUUCCUCCAUUUAUCCUUGAGAUCAACAGAGGUGCGAUAUGAAUAGGAUGCAAAUGCAAGCCGCUUGAUCUCAGACCACCUUCCAGCCCCAUACCUAGACACACCCUCAACUAGCUUCAUGACCUCGGAGAGAGUCCAAGCUCGAUGAUGUUUCCUUCUAAUUCCACCUUUGGAUGUGGGCACAGAAACUACAUUAUCGUCUGAAUCCCCAGUUGAAUCUACUUGUUUCAGCACCUUAUGAUGGCCCCCAACUGCACCUAUUGCUGAGAACUGUUUAUCUUUGUCUGGU